CUUUUAACGAGAGUUUGAUCCUGGCUCAGGACGAACGCUGGCGGCGUGCCUAAUACAUGCAAGUCGAGCGAAC
RNAcentral lists this ribosomal RNA (73 nucleotides) under Aerococcus urinaehominis. Its description in RNAcentral is "16S rRNA. Bacterial SSU". It matches the Rfam family "Bacterial small subunit ribosomal RNA", at positions 1 to 71 of the family's 1533-position model. Lineage: Bacteria; Bacillati; Bacillota; Bacilli; Lactobacillales; Aerococcaceae. The record is from RNAcentral.